CAUCACUAAAACAGGAAACCAUAUCUCAAAAUCCCUAACAAUUCGAAUUUUCGGUUAUGUUUUCACAUUAAUAGCUGUAACAAAAGUUUCGAGAUAAGUUUUAACCACCCGAGACAAAGGUCUCGACUCGAGACCACAAGAACUCGACUCGAAAUCAUAAGUGUUCUCAAAUGUUUAUAACUCGAGACAACAAUUCCGACUCGAGAUCAUAAGGUCUCGACUCGAGACCACUGAGGUUUCGACUAAGGGCUUAAAUCUGUACGACUCGAGACCAUAAAGGUCACAACUCGAGACCAUGGUUGCGACUCGAGACCUCAUAAGGAGUCGAGAUCUCAUAAUUCACAGCAGUCGAGACCAUGAUUACGACUCGAGACACUGAGGUUGCGACUCAAGACCAUUAAUGAGUCGAGACCUCAUAAUGUUAUAAGCUGAGUCGAGACUUGACUCGAGACCUCAUAACUGACUCGAGAUC
RNAcentral lists this long non-coding RNA (472 nucleotides) under Helianthus annuus (common sunflower). The record is from RNAcentral. Lineage: Eukaryota; Viridiplantae; Streptophyta; Magnoliopsida; Asterales; Asteraceae.